This 253-nucleotide ribosomal RNA is filed under the name uncultured bacterium. Its description in RNAcentral is "partial 16S ribosomal RNA". It matches the Rfam family "Bacterial small subunit ribosomal RNA", at positions 524 to 776 of the family's 1533-position model. The record is from RNAcentral.
UACAGAGGGUGCAAGCGUUGUUCGGAAUUACUGGGCGUAAAGCGCGUGUAGGCGGUCUGAUAAGUCGGUCGUGAAAGCCCUUGGCUUAACCAAGGAACUGCGAUCGAAACUAUUAGACUAGAGUAUCGGAGGGGAUGGUGGAAUUCCCGGUGUAGAGGUGAAAUUCGUAGAUAUCGAGAGGAACACCUGCGGCGAAGGCGGGUAGCUGGGCCGACACUGACGCUGAGGCACGAAAGCGUGGGGAGCAAACAGG